GCCAACUUAAAGUUCGUUCACGAACUUUGCCUUUUCUAGUUAUUAUUAUUAUUCCGCGCUCAAAAUUUAAUCGACUACUCCUCCUAGGGCUUUUGACGUAGAACCACGAAAUUUUGCAGUAUCGUAGGACCUAUACCCGAAUAGGUUGCUUGUGCUUUUUUAAGCGAUACAUCGUACGGUUUUCGUAAAAACUUCGUAAACGUACGCAUUUUUUUCCCAUAGGAAUGAAUGGGGCGAAAUUUUAAACGUCCGUAACCGCCACAAUUUUUGACAUACAAAUACAAAAAUCGGACGGUCUAUAGACCUUACCGCGUUCUUUCCGAAAAUUUUAACGUUUCGACGAUACGUCGUACGGUUUUCGUACAAAUGUCGUACGAAGUUUUCCCAUUG
Long non-coding RNA from Astyanax mexicanus (Mexican tetra), 390 nucleotides. RefSeq lists it as uncharacterized. Lineage: Eukaryota; Metazoa; Chordata; Actinopteri; Characiformes; Acestrorhamphidae. The record is from RefSeq and is a predicted model, not a curated record. The transcript has 2 exons.